GAUGAAGAACGUAGCGAAAUGCGAUAAGUAAUGCGAAUUGCAGAAUUCAGUGAAUCAUCGAAUCUUUGAACGCACAUUGCGCCCUUUGGUAUUCCUUAGGGCAUGCCUGUUCGAGCGUCAUUUAAACCUUCAAGCUCAGCUUGGUGUUGGGUGACUGUCCGCUUCACCGCGGACUCGCCUCAAAAUUAUUGGCGGCCGGUACAUUGGCUUCGAGCGCAGCAGAAACGCGAACUCGGGCCCGUCGUAUUGGCUCCCAGAAGCUAUCUUCACAAUUUUGACCUCGGAUCAGGUAGGGAUACCCGCUGAACUUAAGCAUAUCAAUAAGCGGAGGA
This 332-nucleotide unclassified non-coding RNA is filed under the name soil metagenome. RNAcentral describes it as "partial contains 5.8S ribosomal RNA, internal transcribed spacer 2, and large subunit ribosomal RNA". The stretch from base 1 to 120 matches the Rfam family "5.8S ribosomal RNA", at positions 35 to 154 of the family's 154-position model. The record is from RNAcentral.